UCCAAGCCAUCCAACCAUUACAUUACAAUAGGCUCGUCUUCUUCUCCAACUGCAUAUUGUUCAAGAAAGUGCGGAGAAGCUGUUCUCUUGUUCCCAAUCUCCACAGUGUUUUUGACGGAGUUUCUGCAGUAGCCUUGUUUUUCCUCUUUUACAACCAGGAAGAAUUUCCGAGAAAUAAGUUUCUAAGAAGCGCUCUUCGGUUCUUCCUCCCCAGUGGAGCAUCGGAGACGUAUUCUUCUCUCAGGUAAGUGAGGUUGAGGUAAUUCAUAGAACUGCUGAAGUAAGUGUUCCUUCGUCGAAUUAUACUCUUGGUGUUAAUGGGUCUGUUCAAAAUAACGUAUCCGUGAAUGAUCCCAACUGGUGUGGUGACUUGUUCGAGCGCAAGUGUUAUAACAGCCGCGUGAGUACUUGGUAGCCCACCCAGACUGCACUUCAGGGUUUCAAUUACAUAUUCUUUUUCUAUUGUGAUGGCGAGAGAUUUAGUGUUUUGGGAUAUGCAGUCUUGGCAAUGUGGCUUGCUGCAUUGUUCUAUGCAUUGGCUAACACAGCCGCAGACCACUUCUGUUGUUCAUUGGAGAAGCUUUCGGGUUUUUUGAAGUUGCCUCCAACUGUGGCAGGAGUUUCUGUGCUUCCACUUAGGAAUGGAGCUCCUGAUGUAUUUGCGAGCAGCUCCUUUUGUCAGCAAGGAUGUGGGCAGCUAUUUUCCUAUGAAAACCUUUUCAAAGGGAUUAAGGGCUAGAAGAUUUCUAAAAAGGAUAAAGAAAAGAGAAGAAAGUUGUAGAGAGGCUGUUGAUUGACUAAUCUUAAAAUUUGUUUUUCAAA
Malania oleifera is the source of this 822-nucleotide long non-coding RNA. RefSeq lists it as uncharacterized. The record is from RefSeq and is a predicted model, not a curated record. NCBI's taxonomy places the organism in Eukaryota, Viridiplantae, Streptophyta, Magnoliopsida, Santalales, Ximeniaceae. The transcript is spliced from 2 exons.